RNAcentral lists this ribosomal RNA (301 nucleotides) under uncultured bacterium. RNAcentral describes it as "partial 16S ribosomal RNA". It matches the Rfam family "Bacterial small subunit ribosomal RNA", at positions 509 to 807 of the family's 1533-position model. The record is from RNAcentral.
CAGUCGCCACGGUAAUACGUAGGGUGCAAGCGUUAAUCGGAAUUUCUGGGCGUAAAGCGUGCGCAGGCGGUUUGUUAAGACAGAUGUGAAAUCCCCGGGCUCAACCUGGGAACUGCAUUUGUGACUGGCAAGCUGGAGUCUGGCAGAGGGGGGUGGAAUUCCGCGUGUAGCAGUGAAAUGCGUAGAUAUGCGGAGGAACACCGAUGGCGAAGGCAGCCCCCUGGGCCAACACUGACGCUCAUGCACGAAAGCGUGGGGAGCAAACAGGAUUAGAUACCCCUGUAGUCCCUGUCUCUUAUAC